This 532-nucleotide ribosomal RNA is filed under the name Penicillium oxalicum. RNAcentral's name for it is "eukaryotic LSU rRNA". The stretch from base 159 to 312 matches the Rfam family "5.8S ribosomal RNA". The record is from RNAcentral. Lineage: Eukaryota; Fungi; Ascomycota; Eurotiomycetes; Eurotiales; Aspergillaceae.
GGGUCCACCUCCCCCCGUGUUUAUCGUACCUUGUUGCUUCGGCGGGCCCGCCUCACGGCCGCCGGGGGGCAUCCGCCCCCGGGCCCGCGCCCGCCGAAGACACACAAACGAACUCUUGUCUGAAGAUUGCAGUCUGAGUACUUGACUAAAUCAGUUAAAACUUUCAACAACGGAUCUCUUGGUUCCGGCAUCGAUGAAGAACGCAGCGAAAUGCGAUAAGUAAUGUGAAUUGCAGAAUUCAGUGAAUCAUCGAGUCUUUGAACGCACAUUGCGCCCCCUGGUAUUCCGGGGGGCAUGCCUGUCCGAGCGUCAUUGCUGCCCUCAAGCACGGCUUGUGUGUUGGGCUCUCGCCCCCCGCUUCCGGGGGGCGGGCCCGAAAGGCAGCGGCGGCACCGCGUCCGGUCCUCGAGCGUAUGGGGCUUCGUCACCCGCUCUGUAGGCCCGGCCGGCGCCCGCCGGCGAACACCAUCAAUCUUAACCAGGUUGACCUCGGAUCAGGUAGGGAUACCCGCUGAACUUAAGCAUAUCAUAA